CUUUCUUUCUUUUCUUUCUUUCCUCUUUCUCUCUUUCCUUCUUUCUUUUUUUCUUCUUUCCUUCCUUCCUUCCUUCUUUCUUUUCUUUCUUUCCAUUUUUUUUUCCUCCAGAAGAAUGGAAACAGUAUUCUUUUCCGAUCAGUUCAGUAAUACAAUGUCCUUCAGUGUCCAUAUGAGCAUCUCAGUGGAGAAGAAAAGAAACUUUGCUACCUGGGAACUGAAGACUACUUAGUGAAGAUCCCGGUGUUACACAUCCAAUCGUUCACCUCCUUCCAAGACUAUGACAUUCCAGGAAACCUUCACUGCUAAGAGGAACUAAGAUCUAGAGUAUCUCCUCGAGGAAGUACAACUGGAUUCUCCCUCCUUGGUUCUUCCCUGGACCAAGGACAGAAGAAACAUUCAACACAGAGGCUAUUGACAAAAGGGGCAUAUUUGGUGCAAACAGGGGUAAGUCAUGAUUAGUUCA
RNAcentral lists this long non-coding RNA (466 nucleotides) under Pan troglodytes (chimpanzee). RNAcentral's name for it is "lincRNA". The record is from RNAcentral. Lineage: Eukaryota; Metazoa; Chordata; Mammalia; Primates; Hominidae.